AAAGACCGCGAGGCAGAGCGAAUCCCUAAAAGACCGUCCCAGUUCGGAUUGCAGGCUGCAACCCGCCUGCAUGAAGUUGGAAUCGCUAGUAAUCGCGGAUCAGCAUGCCGCGGUGAAUACGUUCCCGGGCCUUGUACACACCGCCCGUCACACCAUGAGAGUCGGGAACACCCGAGGUCCGUAGCCUAACAGCAAUGGGGCGCGGCCGAAGGUGGGUUCGAUAAUUGGGGUGAAGUCGUAACAAGGUACC
Molecule: ribosomal RNA, 250 nt
Filed under: uncultured bacterium
Lineage: Bacteria
Description: partial 16S ribosomal RNA
Rfam family: Bacterial small subunit ribosomal RNA
Source: RNAcentral